Molecule: long non-coding RNA, 558 nt
Organism: Rhinopithecus roxellana (golden snub-nosed monkey)
Lineage: Eukaryota; Metazoa; Chordata; Mammalia; Primates; Cercopithecidae
Exons: 4
Source: RefSeq, a predicted model, not a curated record
AAUAUUUCUAGUGUUCUCUCUCUAUGCAGCAAUCUCCUCUUUAGAGAUCUCUAAUGAGAACUCUAGCUAACUUCUCUCUGGGCUCUCAAACUUUUCUCUUUAAUUAAGCAGUCAUCUGGGCUCUGCCUGACUUCCCCCUCCCUCAUGUUGGCCUGGAAACUCCUAAAACAGUGAGUGGGAGUGUCAAUAAGGUUGUCCUUCUACCUGACAGAAUUCAUUUACAUGUCUACAGCUCACAACGUUGAUCAAAGCUCCCGCUAGAAUCAGAAUCAGACAAUGUGGAAGGAGAAAAAAGGAAAACUAAUGCUACCAGAUAACCUUAGGUCCACUGGAUAGUCAACUGGACUCAGAGAAGUUUCUGCUUUUGCUUAAAGUUAUGACAAACUCUGGAGCUUGUCAUCUUGCUACAGAUUCCACCCUACCCCACAGGAUUCAAGAAUUAAUUUGAAACAUUUACUAAAGAAGAUAGAAACAUUUUAGACACAGCCAAUUUCCAGAAUCACUCUUGAGACAAAUCUCCGGUAAACAAAUAAAACAGAAAAAGGAACUCCGUGUGAU